This 70-nucleotide transfer RNA is filed under the name Bavayia whitakeri. RNAcentral describes it as "tRNA-Ala". It matches the Rfam family "tRNA". From Rfam's summary of the family: Transfer RNA (tRNA) molecules are approximately 80 nucleotides in length. The record is from RNAcentral. Lineage: Eukaryota; Metazoa; Chordata; Lepidosauria; Squamata; Diplodactylidae.
GAGGUCUUAGCUUAGUUAAAGUGUUUGAGUUGCAUUCAGGAGAUGUAUAUUAGGAAUUAUACAGGCUUUC